GACGGAGGGUGCAAGCGUUGCUCGGAAUCACUGGGCGUAAAGGGUGCGUAGGCGGCCGCGCAAGUCGGGCGUGAAAGCCCACGGCUCAGCCGUGGAAGGGCGCUCGAAACGGUGCGGCUAGAGUGCCGGAGGGGAGAGUGGAAUUCCCGGUGUAGCGGUGAAAUGCGUAGAUAUCGGGAGGAAUACCGGUGGCGAAAGCGACUCUCUGGACGGCGACUGACGCUGAGGCACGAAAGCGUGGGGAGCAAACAGG
RNAcentral lists this ribosomal RNA (253 nucleotides) under uncultured bacterium. RNAcentral's name for it is "partial 16S ribosomal RNA". It matches the Rfam family "Bacterial small subunit ribosomal RNA", at positions 524 to 776 of the family's 1533-position model. The record is from RNAcentral.